This 314-nucleotide ribosomal RNA is filed under the name uncultured eukaryote. RNAcentral describes it as "partial 18S ribosomal RNA". It matches the Rfam family "Eukaryotic small subunit ribosomal RNA", at positions 1470 to 1796 of the family's 1831-position model. The record is from RNAcentral.
CCCUUAGAUGUCCUGGGCCGCACGCGUGCUACACUGACGCCUACAGCGAGUACUUCCCAGCCCCGAGAGGCGGCUGGUAAUCAGCAAUAGGCGUCGUGAUGGGGAUAGAUCUUUGGAAUUAUGGAUCUUGAACGAGGAAUGCCUAGUAAGCGCAGGUCAUUAGCCUGCGCUGAUUACGUCCCUGCCCUUUGUACACACCGCCCGUCGCACCUACCGAUUGAAUGGUCCGGUGAAGCCUCCGGAUUGGCGCGCACCUCGGUGCCGCCGAGAAGUUGGCUAAACCUUACCAUUUAGAGGAAGGUGAAGUCGUANCA